GAACCUUGGGCCUGGCUGGCCGGUCCGCCUCACCGCGUGCACUGGUCCGGCCGGGCCUUUCCCUCUGGGGAACCGCAUGCCAUUCACUUGGUGUGUCGGGGAACCAGGACUUUUACUUUGAAAAAAUUAGAGUGUUCAAAGCAGGCCUAUGCUCGAAUACAUUAGCAUGGAAUAAUAGAAUAGGACGUGUGGUUCUAUUUUGUUGGUUUCUAGGACCGCCGUAAUGAUUAAUAGGGACAGUCGGGGGCAUCAGUAUUCAAUUGUCAGAGGUGAAAUUCUUGGAUUUAUUGAAGACUAACUACUGCGAAAGCAUUUGCCAAGGAUGUUUUCAUUAAUCAGGAACGAAAGUUAGGGGAUGGAAAACGAUCAGAUACCGUCGUAGUCUUAACCAUAAACUAUGCCGACUAGGGAUCGGACGGUGUUAUUUUUUGACCCGUUCGGCACCUUACACGAAAGUACAAGUUUCUGGGUUCUGGGGGGAG
This 482-nucleotide ribosomal RNA is filed under the name Magnaporthe sp. RNAcentral describes it as "SSU rRNA". It matches the Rfam family "Eukaryotic small subunit ribosomal RNA", at positions 636 to 1123 of the family's 1831-position model. Lineage: Eukaryota; Fungi; Ascomycota; Sordariomycetes; Magnaporthales; Magnaporthaceae. The record is from RNAcentral.